RNAcentral lists this non-coding RNA (96 nucleotides) under Lyngbya confervoides. RNAcentral describes it as "Glutamine-I sequence". It matches the Rfam family "Glutamine riboswitch aptamer (glnA leader)". The record is from RNAcentral. Lineage: Bacteria; Bacillati; Cyanobacteriota; Cyanophyceae; Oscillatoriales; Microcoleaceae. RNAcentral also lists the same sequence under 1 other name.
AUCGUUCAUCCUGAUUUGUGCUGUUUGGCAGCCAAGCGUCGAAUUAAUUGACGGCAUUUGGGGACGGAAGUAGGGCUUUGCCCGAAGGAACGCGCC